Molecule: long non-coding RNA, 443 nt
Organism: Magallana angulata
Lineage: Eukaryota; Metazoa; Mollusca; Bivalvia; Ostreida; Ostreidae
Exons: 2
Source: RefSeq, a predicted model, not a curated record
AAUUCUGACAGCCACACUUCUGUCGACCAUGUCGACGGAUGUUUAUGUUUCCAUUGAUCAGCCGUUGAUAAGCUACGAGUAAUAAAGGGGAAAAGAUGGACAUUAAAGUGUGUGAUCUAUGUGGAUGUUACUGAAGAAGCUCAAAACGAACUCUUGUUCCGACAUGGCACCACAUUGCUUUUACCUGUUGAUUCUUGUGGGUCAACUCUUGAGAUUAACCUGUCACCUCUAUCCACAUGCAUAUUCCUUGUGUUCUACAGACUUUUUACCGGUAAUUCAAAUUAAAUCGGAUAAUGCAUGAACAAUAAUGGAACUUUAUGAAAGCAUCAUCCCAUGUUGUGGUUUGUGUUUGAUAAGAAAUUAUGAAAAACAAAAUUAAGGCUAUUUAAAGAAAUUCAUAAUUGUUGUGAAAAUUUGUUUUUCAAUAAAAGUAUGCAAUUAUG